Molecule: transfer RNA, 89 nt
Filed under: Planctomycetota bacterium
Lineage: Bacteria; Pseudomonadati; Planctomycetota
Description: Planctomycetes bacterium (hot springs metagenome) tRNA-Ser
Rfam family: tRNA
About the family: Transfer RNA (tRNA) molecules are approximately 80 nucleotides in length.
Source: RNAcentral
GGAGAGGUGGCUGAGUGGUCGAAAGCGUCGGUUUGCUAAACCGAUGAGGGUGUAAAAGCCCUCCGCAGGUUCGAAUCCUGUCCUCUCCG